UGAGGAAUAUUGGACAAUGGGCGCAAGCCUGAUCCAGCCAUGCCGCGUGCAGGAUGACGGUCCUAUGGAUUGUAAACUGCUUUUGCACAGGAAGAAACAACAUUACGUGUAAUGUCUUGACGGUACUGUGAGAAUAAGGAUCGGCUAACUCCGUGCCAGCAGCCGCGGUAAUACGGAGGAUCCAAGCGUUAUCCGGAAUCAUUGGGUUUAAAGGGUCCGUAGGCGGUCUUAUAAGUCAGUGGUGAAAUCUCCCCGCUCAACGGGGAAACGGCCAUUGAUACUGUAGGACUUGAAUUAUAAGGAAGUAACUAGAAUAUGUAGUGUAGCGGUGAAAUGCUUAGAGAUUACAUGGAAUACCAAUUGCGAAGGCAGGUUACUACUUAUGGAUUGACGCUGAUGGACGAAAGCGUGGGUAGCGAACA
Molecule: ribosomal RNA, 422 nt
Filed under: uncultured prokaryote
Description: bacterial SSU rRNA
Rfam family: Bacterial small subunit ribosomal RNA
Source: RNAcentral